RNAcentral lists this ribosomal RNA (218 nucleotides) under Enterobacter cloacae. RNAcentral describes it as "partial 23S ribosomal RNA". It matches the Rfam family "Bacterial large subunit ribosomal RNA", at positions 2725 to 2925 of the family's 2925-position model. Lineage: Bacteria; Pseudomonadati; Pseudomonadota; Gammaproteobacteria; Enterobacterales; Enterobacteriaceae. The record is from RNAcentral.
CAUGCCAAUGGCACUGCCCGGUAGCUAAAUGCGGAAGAGAUAAGUGCUGAAAGCAUCUAAGCACGAAACUUGCCCCGAGAUGAGUUCUCCCUGAGACUUAAAGUCUCCUGAAGGAACGUUAAAGACGAUGACGUUGAUAGGUCGGGUGUGUAAGCGCAGCGAUGCGUUGAGCUAACCGAUACUAAUGAACCGUGAGGCUUAACCUUACAACGCCGAAG